Molecule: ribosomal RNA, 521 nt
Filed under: Prosoeca ganglbaueri
Lineage: Eukaryota; Metazoa; Arthropoda; Insecta; Diptera; Nemestrinidae
Description: partial large subunit ribosomal RNA
Rfam family: Bacterial large subunit ribosomal RNA
Source: RNAcentral
CAUGUCCUUUAGGAUUGAAUUUAAGGUCUAGCCUGCCCACUGAGUUAUUAAAUGGCCGCAGUAUUUUAACUGUGCAAAGGUAGCAUAAUCAUUAGUCUUUUAAUUGAAGGCUUGUAUGAAUGGUUGGACAAAAUAUAUAUUGUUUCAUGUAAAUUAAUAGAAUUUUAUUUUUUAGUUAAAAAGCUGAAAUUUAAUUAAAAGACGAGAAGACCCUAUAGAUCUUUAUAGUUGUUGAGUUUAAUUUAUGAAGAAUGGUUUAUUUUUAAUUUAUUUAACUAUUUUAUUGGGGUGAUAGUAAGAUUUAUUUAACUCUUGUGUGAUUUAAUACAUAAAUUAAUGAUUAGUUGAUCCAGUAUUAUUGAUUAGUAAAAUAAGUUACCUUAGGGAUAACAGCGUAAUUUUUUUAGAGAGUUCAUAUCGAUAAAAAAGAUUGCGACCUCGAUGUUGGAUUAAGAGAUAAGUUUGGGCGCAGCCGUUCAAAUUUAAAGUCUGUUCGACUUUUUGAUUCUUACAUGAUCUGA